Molecule: ribosomal RNA, 372 nt
Filed under: uncultured Glomeromycotina
Lineage: Eukaryota; Fungi; Glomeromycota
Description: LSU rRNA
Source: RNAcentral
UUGAAAGGGAAACGAUUGAAGUCAGUCGUACCGGCGGGUAAUCAGCCUUUUGGGUGUGAUUAUGUGGAGCGUGAGGAGCUAAUCGCCUUCAUCUUUGCAUAUUCGUGCGCUUUGGGUGUACUUGCUCGUGUGGUAGGUUAACAUCAAUUUUGAUCAUCAUAAAAUGAUUGAAGGAAUGUAGCUUCGAUCUCGUAUUGAAGUGUUAUAGCCUUUGGUAGAUGCGAUGAUCGGGAUUGAGGAUUGCAACGGAUACCCUUCGGGGCUACCCGUCUGAUCUCUGAAAGUUGCUCUGGUGCUGAAAGCUUGCUUAUGGUAUCAAAGUUGACGUUUAAUAGGUUAGAACGGGAUAAAUUCGUUAAGGAUGUUGACGUA